AACGAACGCUGGCGGCAGGCUUAACACAUGCAAGUCGAACGCCCCGCGAGGGGCGUGGCAGACGGGUGAGUAACGCGUGGGAACAUACCCUUUUCUACGGAAUAGCUCUGGGAAACUGGAAUUAAUACCGUAUACGCCCUACGGGGGAAAGAUUUAUCGGGGAAGGAUUGGCCCGCGUUGGAUUAGCUAGUUGGUGGGGUAAAGGCCUACCAAGGCGACGAUCCAUAGCUGGUCUGAGAGGAUGAUCAGCCACAUUGGGACUGAGACACGGCCCAAACUCCUACGGGAAGCAGCAGUGGGGAAUAUUGGACAAUGGGCGCAAGCCUGAUCCAGCCAUGCCGCGUGAGUGAUGAAGGCCUUAGGGUUGUAAAGCUCUUUCACCGAUGAAGAUAAUGACGGUAGUCGGAGAAGAAGCCCCGGCUAACUUCGUG
RNAcentral lists this ribosomal RNA (431 nucleotides) under uncultured bacterium. RNAcentral's name for it is "partial 16S ribosomal RNA". It matches the Rfam family "Bacterial small subunit ribosomal RNA", at positions 29 to 507 of the family's 1533-position model. The record is from RNAcentral.